AGGGACGGAGCCGACGUGAGGGGCUACUUCGCGUGGGCAUUCAUGGACCUGUUCGAGCUCCUGUCGGGGUACCAGUCGAGGUACGGGCUGUACCGCGUCGACUUCGCCGACGGGAGGCGGCCGCGGCAAGCCAGGCUCUCGGCUCGCUGGUACGCCGGCUUCCUCAAGCGCAACGGAACCAAUGCGCUCGCGUCGAGAACAAUGCAGGAGAAGCUAGACGCGGUGUGCGGACUCCCGAGCCUGGAGAGUGAAGCAACCGAGUGUGCCUGA
This 270-nucleotide ribosomal RNA is filed under the name Triticum aestivum (bread wheat). Its description in RNAcentral is "partial small subunit ribosomal RNA". The record is from RNAcentral. Lineage: Eukaryota; Viridiplantae; Streptophyta; Magnoliopsida; Poales; Poaceae.